GAUGAACGCUGGCGGCGUGCCUAAUACAUGCAAGUCGAGCGAACGGACGAGAAGCUUGCUUUUCUGAUGUUAGCGGCGGACGGGUGAGUAACACGUGGAUAACCUACCUAUAAGACUGGGAUAACUUCGGGAAACCGGAGCUAAUACCGGAUAAUAUUUUGAACCGCAUGGUUCAUAAGUGAAAGACGGUCUUGCUGUCACUUAUAGAUGGAUCCGCGCUGCAUUAGCUAGUUGGUAAGGUAACGGCUUACCAAGGCAACGAUGCAUAGCCGACCUGAGAGGGUGAUCGGCCACACUGGAACUGAGCCACGGUCCAGACUCCUACGGGAGGCAGCAGUAGGGAAUCUUCCGCAAUGGGCGAAAGCCUGACGGAGCAACGCCGCGUGAGUGAUGAAGGUCUUCGGAUCGUAAAACUCUGUUAUUAGGGAAGAACAUAUGUGUAAGUAACUGUGCACAUCUUGACGGUACCUAAUCAGAAAGCCACGGCUAACUCCGUG
RNAcentral lists this ribosomal RNA (497 nucleotides) under uncultured bacterium. RNAcentral's name for it is "partial 16S ribosomal RNA". It matches the Rfam family "Bacterial small subunit ribosomal RNA", at positions 28 to 507 of the family's 1533-position model. The record is from RNAcentral.